AGGCCUCCAAUCUUUUUAUUGUUGUUAUUUGUUUAAUGAAUGGAAUUGCAUUAGUAUACAAUCAAAAAUACACUUACAGUGCAGUGGUAACCUGGAGGUUCCCUGCUGGCAGAAUGGUGAUACCGCUGGCUUGGAGGACAAGAGGGAUUCUUUCUCCCUGCGGUGACUGGGAAGAUCAGGAUGGCACAAGCAUGGCCCUCUGGGGUCACCAGGGUGAAAAGCCACUGGCAAUGGACUUGAGGGCGCCAUCCAUCCAUUGGUCCAUUCACAGUAACUUUCUGAGCUCUGCGUGUGGGUCUCCGUCUCGGAAGAUGCUGGGCUGUGGAAGAAUGGGUAACGGGACUUCAGUCACAGCCAUGGUUGGAGGGGGCAGCGUCCAUCCUGCUAAGAGAGAAGCAAAUGGACACAAAGAGCCGAAGACCCACUUGGUGUGUGUGGGGGGGUGCCCCGCAGCAGGGUAGGAAGCCCUGUAGGGCAGGGCCCCUGGCAAGGCAGCAGCCUGGGCAGGGGAGUGGGAACAGCAGGGGAGGCUUAAAGGUAUGUACAGCACCUAGCAACACAGAGACUUUUAAAGAACAAAUAGAACGGUGAGGGCUUCUGCUAGAAUCCGGUCUCCUAAUUCUUCCUACUCUCUUCCUUCCUCCUUGACUUGUAUUGUUCCCACUUCCCUUCAGCUCGGAUUGCUGUGCUGAAGGAAGCGCUCCCCUCACUUUGCUCACACAAUGAGGCCUGGUCAAAACCCACUAAAGACACCACCAAGGCAGAGGAGGAGCCCUCUGCCACCCGGAGGGAACCGCUAAACUCUCUGCGUCUGAGGAAAUCUCGCAAAGACGACAGGGACAGACUGCUUCCUCCUCGCUGAGGGAAAUUGGUGACGUUUCCUCUACGACAAAGAUCAUUAGAGGUGGCACAACUUUGAAAAAUUCCGGAAAAUUGAUCAAAUAAAGGAAAGAAACCCCGCU
This 962-nucleotide long non-coding RNA is filed under the name Fukomys damarensis (Damara mole-rat). Its description in RNAcentral is "lncRNA (ENSFDAG00000031406.1)". The record is from RNAcentral. Lineage: Eukaryota; Metazoa; Chordata; Mammalia; Rodentia; Bathyergidae.